UUUCCGUAGGUGAACCUGCGGAAGGAUCAUUAAAAAUAAUCACAGUUUGUGAUUUUAAUAAUCAUCCUACCUUUGUGAAUUGUUUUGUAAAGAAAUUUAUGUUGUCUAUCCUGGUGGUUUGGAAAGUUGAAAAACUUUUUCAAAUCCCAGGGACUAGGCUUCAUAGACCUUUUUUAAAUUAAACUUUUUGUAUUCAUUGUCUAAAUUUAUUUUAUAAUUUAAAAAACUUUGACAAUGGAUCUCUUGGUUCUCGCAACGAUGAAGAACGCAGCAAAAGCGAUAAGUAAUGUGAAUUGCAGAAUACGUGAAUCAUCAAAUCUUCGAACGCAUAUUGCACUUUCUAGUUUACUAGAAAGUAUGUCUGUUGAGUAUCAGUAAAAAUUCUCAUAAAAAACAUUGUUUUUUAUGGUUAUGAGUGUUUUACAACGAUAAACAAGUUGUUUCACUUUAAAUGAUUUUUAAAAGCCAAUUGGUUUUAUCUAAUAAAAUUGGAUAAAAUUUCCGUAAAAAGGAAUAAACUUUUCAGUUUUAAAAGGUAAAACUUUAUUGACCUAAUAAAAGGAAAUUUAACAAAUAACUUGAUCUCAAAUCAGAUAAGAGUACCGCUGAACUUAAGCAUAUCAAUAAGCGGAGGAAAGAAACUAACAAGAUUCCUUAGUAACGGCGAUGAAGCGGAAGAGCUCAAAUUUGAAAUCUUCAAGUUCUACCUUGACGAAUUGUAGUUAUAGAAGUGUUUUCUGUUAGUAGAGUGGCAAAAGUUCUUUGAAUAGGACAUCAUAGAGGUGAGAAUCCGUAUUUGGUCAUUCUCUAGCUUGUGAUACACUUUCAACGAGUCGGAUUGUUUGGGAAUGCAGUCAAAAUGGGUGGUAAAUUCAUCUAAGCUAAAUAUUGGCGAGAGACCGAUAGCGAACAAGUACCGUGAGGGAAAGAUGAAAAGAACUUUGAAAAGAGAGUUAAACAGUACGUGAAAUUGUCAAAAGGAAGCGUUUGACACCAGUGUUUUUUUCCGAAAUCAUUACGAAUGUUUUGUUUUGAGGAGUUAUGUCUUCAUCGGCUUGCUCUUCUUUACGAAACUUUCUUAAUGCACUUUUCGGUUAACAAGUCAACAUCAAUUUCUUUUGUUGUAAAGGGUAUGAGGAAGGUGGCUUUCUUUCGGAGAAAGUGUUUAUAGCCUUGUGCCUCUGCAAUCGGAGAGAUUGAGGUCUGCAGCGUAGAUCCUUCGGGUUAGAUACGUUUGUGCUAAGUUAUAGCUUUCUAGACAACUGUUGACUAUGUUAGUCUUGUAGCUUACUCGCUGACGCUAUU
RNAcentral lists this unclassified non-coding RNA (1305 nucleotides) under uncultured Neocallimastigales. RNAcentral's name for it is "partial contains small subunit ribosomal RNA, internal transcribed spacer 1, 5.8S ribosomal RNA, internal transcribed spacer 2, and large subunit ribosomal RNA". The stretch from base 580 to 1305 matches the Rfam family "Eukaryotic large subunit ribosomal RNA", at positions 1 to 608 of the family's 3401-position model. The record is from RNAcentral. Lineage: Eukaryota; Fungi; Neocallimastigomycota; Neocallimastigomycetes; Neocallimastigales.